AUGAGAUGCCUUAGUUGGAACUGCCGGGGGCUUGGGAACCCCGAGGCAGUUCGUGAGCUUCGCAAUUUUGUGAAGCAGGAAGGGCCCGCGCUGCUCUUUGUUAUGGAGACAAAGAUCAGGGCAUAGAGGGUGGAAAGCUUGCAACAAAACCUCGGGUUUGCGGGGUGUUUUGCGGUGGAUAGCUCUGGUUUGAGUGGUGGCAUAGGGAUGUUC
Molecule: ribosomal RNA, 213 nt
Filed under: Triticum aestivum (bread wheat)
Lineage: Eukaryota; Viridiplantae; Streptophyta; Magnoliopsida; Poales; Poaceae
Description: partial small subunit ribosomal RNA
Source: RNAcentral